GAUGAACGCUGGCGGCGUGCCUAAUACAUGCAAGUCGAGCGAACAGACGAGGAGCUUGCUCCUCUGACGUUAGCGGCGGACGGGUGAGUAACACGUGGAUAACCUACCUAUAAGACUGGGAUAACUUCGGGAAACCGGAGCUAAUACCGGAUAAUAUAUUGAACCGCAUGGUUCAAUAGUGAAAGACGGUUUUGCUGUCACUUAUAGAUGGAUCCGCGCCGCAUUAGCUAGUUGGUAAGGUAACGGCUUACCAAGGCAACGAUGCGUAGCCGACCUGAGAGGGUGAUCGGCCACACUGGAACUUAGACACGGUCCAGACUCCUACGGGAGGCAGCAGUAGGGAAUCUUCCGCAAUGGGCGAAAGCCUGACGGAGCAACGCCGCGUGAGUGAUGAAGGUCUUCGGAUCGUAAAACUCUGUUAUUAGGGAAGAACAAAUGUGUAAGUAACUAUGCACGUCUUGACGGUACCUAAUCAGAAAGCCACGGCUAACUAC
Molecule: ribosomal RNA, 494 nt
Filed under: uncultured bacterium
Lineage: Bacteria
Description: partial 16S ribosomal RNA
Rfam family: Bacterial small subunit ribosomal RNA
Source: RNAcentral